AACGAACGCUGGCGGCAUGCCUAACACAUGCAAGUCGAACGAGACCUUCGGGUCUAGUGGCGCACGGGUGCGUAACGCGUGGGAACCUGCCCUUAGGUUCGGAAUAACUCCCCGAAAGGGGUGCUAAUACCGGAUAAUGUCUUCGGACCAAAGAUUUAUCGCCUUUGGAUGGUCCCGCGUUGGAUUAGCUAGUUGGUAGGGUAAAAGCCUACCAAGGCGACGAUCCAUAGCUGGUCUGAGAGGAUGAUCAGCCACACUGGGACUGAGACACGGCCCAGACUCCUACGGGAGGCAGCAGUGUGGAAUAGUGGACAAUGGGCGAAAGCCUGAUCCAGCAAUGCCGCGUGAGUGAUGAAGGCCUUAGGGUUGUAAAGCUCUUUUAACCGGGAUGAUAAUGACAGUACCGGGAGAAUAAGCUCCGGCUAACUCCGUG
RNAcentral lists this ribosomal RNA (433 nucleotides) under uncultured bacterium. RNAcentral's name for it is "partial 16S ribosomal RNA". It matches the Rfam family "Bacterial small subunit ribosomal RNA", at positions 29 to 507 of the family's 1533-position model. The record is from RNAcentral.